GUCGUUUGUGAUCCUCUGUCGGCGACCGAAGAUAAUAUUUCAGCUCUUCUCGAUAAGUUGAUGUGUAAGCUCUGUCAUCAACACUGUUCCAACAAGGUAAAUCAUAAAAGGAAUUAGAAAAACCACUAUGUGCAGGCCUUUUAGAAGAUGAUGGAUCCUCGGGAGGAUGAAGAGCGACAGUUGAAGUGAUAUUUGUAGGUACGGUUAAAUCAAAUAAAUCAGCAUAGUGAUUAUAUAUUUUUCUAUGUAUUCAUUCG
This 257-nucleotide long non-coding RNA is filed under the name Capsicum annuum. RNAcentral describes it as "long non-coding RNA (CANN_LNC013620)". The record is from RNAcentral. Lineage: Eukaryota; Viridiplantae; Streptophyta; Magnoliopsida; Solanales; Solanaceae.